RNAcentral lists this ribosomal RNA (557 nucleotides) under uncultured archaeon. Its description in RNAcentral is "bacterial SSU rRNA". It matches the Rfam family "Archaeal small subunit ribosomal RNA", at positions 321 to 879 of the family's 1478-position model. The record is from RNAcentral.
CCCUACGGGGUGCAGCAGGCGCGGAACCUUUACAAUGCACGAAAGUGUGAUAAGGGAAUCCCAAGUGCUUUACUUUUAGUAAGGCUUUUGCCAUGUGUAAAUAGCAUGGCGAAUAAGUGGUGGGUAAGACUUGUGCCAGCCGCCGCGGUAACACCAGCGCCACAAGUGGCAACCGCUUUUAUUGGGCCUAAAGCGUCCGUAGCCGGUUCAGUAAAUUUUCUGUGAAAUCGUUGAGCUUAACUUAACGACGUGCAGGAAACACUACUGGACUUGGGACCGGGAGGCGUCAGAGGUAUUCUUGAGGGAGCGGUAAAAUGCUAUAAUCUCAGGAGGACCCCCAGUGGCGAAAGCGUCUGACGAGAACGGAUCCGACGGUCAGGGACGAAAGCUAGGGGAGCAAACCGGAUUAGAUACCCGAGUAGUCCUAGCUGUAAACUCUGCGAGCUAGGUGUUGCACAUUCUUCGGGAAUGUGCAGUGUCGAAGCGAAGGUGUUAAGCUCGCCGCCUGGGAAGUAUGGUCGCAAGACUGAAACUUAAAGGAAUUGGCGGGGGAGCAC